ACCUACGGGGCGCAGCAGUGGGGAAUCUUGGACAAUGGGGGAAACCCUGAUCCAGCCAUGCCGCGUGAGUGAUGAAGGCCCUAGGGUUGUAAAACUCUUUCGGCGGGGACGAUAAUGACGGUACCCGCAGAAGAAGCUCCGGCUAACUUCGUGCCAGCAGCCGCGGUAAUACGAAGGGGGCUAGCGUUGUUCGGAAUUACUGGGCGUAAAGCGCGCGCAGGCGGUCCUUUAAGUCGGGGGUGAAAGCCCAGAGCUCAACUCUGGAACUGCCUUCGAAACUAGAGGACUUGGGUACGGGAGAGGUGAGUGGAAUUCCGAGUGUAGAGGUGAAAUUCGUAGAUAUUCGGAAGAACACCAGUGGCGAAGGCGGCUCACUGGCCCGUUACCGACGCUCAGGCGCGACAGCGUGGGGAGCAAACAGGAUUAGAUACCCUGGUAGC
RNAcentral lists this ribosomal RNA (440 nucleotides) under uncultured bacterium. RNAcentral describes it as "bacterial SSU rRNA". It matches the Rfam family "Bacterial small subunit ribosomal RNA", at positions 337 to 794 of the family's 1533-position model. The record is from RNAcentral.